UGGCCUCAAAUCAGGUAGGAUUACCCGCUGAACUUAAGCAUAUCAAUAAGCGGAGGA
This 57-nucleotide ribosomal RNA is filed under the name Tilletiopsis washingtonensis. Its description in RNAcentral is "partial large subunit ribosomal RNA". It matches the Rfam family "Eukaryotic large subunit ribosomal RNA", at positions 1 to 57 of the family's 3401-position model. The record is from RNAcentral. Lineage: Eukaryota; Fungi; Basidiomycota; Exobasidiomycetes; Entylomatales.